ACGACAAAUCUGAGAUAUAGCAAGCUGAGAUCGUAGCAAAAAGCCAUUUAACUUUUAAAUGUGUGUACAAAUAUCAGUAUACCUAUUCCUUUACGUUCCAAGGGUUUGCCUUGCCUAACUCUAGAUUUUGAAGUUAUUUAAGGUGGACGUAUCUUAAAAUAUUUGGUGCUGCUGGCCUUAAAAAAUUUAACAAUGACGGGACCUCAGACAAUCGCAGUUUAUGGCUUGAUCGGCGUUUUGAUCAUCAUCAUUAUAAUCAUUUCUAUUGUUCUGAUCGUCGGAUUGUAUACUAAUGAUCCAAAUCGAAGCACAACUGCAAAUAUGACUACAACUGAGGAAAACUGGAAGACUACAUGAGCGGAUGCUAAGUAUUUGAAUAUCUAAAACAUGUACAUAUUUUUCGGAUUAAAAUGUCUUUAUGUGCAAUUGUUUCUGGUGUAGAAAUACAAAAUAAAUUUUUCUUGUAAAGCAA
This is a long non-coding RNA of Drosophila subpulchrella, 472 nucleotides long. RefSeq lists it as uncharacterized. The record is from RefSeq and is a predicted model, not a curated record. The transcript has 2 exons. NCBI's taxonomy places the organism in Eukaryota, Metazoa, Arthropoda, Insecta, Diptera, Drosophilidae.